AGAGUUUGAUUAUGGCUCAGGAUGAACGAAAGCGAUAGGCCUAACACAUGCAAGUCGAGGGGCAGCACAUGAAGUAGCAAUACGGAUGGUGGCGACCGGCGCACGGGUGAGUAACGCGUAUGCAACCUGCCUACAACAGGGGAAUAACCCGUUGAAAGACGGACUAAUACCCCAUAACACAGGGAUCCCGCAUGGGAAUAUUUGUUAAAGAUUUAUCGGUUGUAGAUGGGCAUGCGUUCCAUUAGCUUGUUGGUGAGGUAACGGCUCACCAAGGCAACGAUGGACAGGGGAACUGAGAGGUUUAUCCCCCACACUGGUACUGAGACACGGACCAGACUCCUACGGGAGGCAGCAGUGAGGAAUAUUGGUCAAUGGACGCAAGUCUGAACCAGCCACGUCGCGUGAAGGAAGACGGCCCUACGGGUUGUAAACUUCUUUUGUAAGGGAAUAAAGUGUAGUACGUGUACUAUUUUGCAUGUACCUUACGAAUAAGGAUCGGCUAACUCCGUGCCAGCAGCCGCGGUAAUACGGAGGAUCCGAGCGUUAUCCGGAUUUAUUGGGUUUAAAGGGUGCGCAGGCGGGAGAUUAAGUCGGCGGUGAAAUUUUGCAGCUCAACUGUAAAAGUGCCUUCGAAACUGGUUUCCUUGAGUGUGGAUGAAGUAGGCGGAAUUUGUGGUGUAGCGGUGAAAUGCAUAGAUAUCACGAGGAACUCCGAUUGCGCAGGCAGCUUACUAAACCAUAACUGACGCUCGGCACGAAAGCGUGGGGAUCAAACAGGAUUAGAUACCCUGGUAGUC
This 797-nucleotide ribosomal RNA is filed under the name uncultured Porphyromonadaceae bacterium. Its description in RNAcentral is "bacterial SSU rRNA". It matches the Rfam family "Bacterial small subunit ribosomal RNA", at positions 8 to 795 of the family's 1533-position model. Lineage: Bacteria; Pseudomonadati; Bacteroidota; Bacteroidia; Bacteroidales; Porphyromonadaceae. The record is from RNAcentral.